This 1176-nucleotide long non-coding RNA is filed under the name Homo sapiens (human). RNAcentral describes it as "non-protein coding lnc-CD93-3:1". Lineage: Eukaryota; Metazoa; Chordata; Mammalia; Primates; Hominidae. The record is from RNAcentral.
AUCACAUACACAUAAACCUACACAACACACUGACAUCAUACACACAGACACCACACACAUAAACCCACACAACACACCAACAUCACACACAGUCACCACACACACAUAAACCCAUACACAACACACCAAAAUCAGACACACACAUAAACCCACACACAACACACUGACAUCACACACACUGACAUGAUGCACAAAUAUACACCCACACACAACACACUGACAUCACACACACAGACACCACACACACACACAAUCCCACACAAAACACACCAUCAGACACAGACAUCACACACACACACAUAAACCCACACACAACACACUGAUAUCACACACACCAACAUCACACACAAACAUAGACCCACACACAACACACCAACAUCACAAACACAGACACCACACACACACAUAAAUCCUUACACAACACGCUGACAUCACACACACAGACACUAUAUACACACACAAACCCACACAACACACCGACAUCACACACACAGACACUAUGUACACAAACAUCACCCACAGACACCAGAUGCACACACCACACACACUCAAACUUCUCUCUUACACACACUCUUCCAUCACACCCUCACAGAGUCAUGACACAUGAGCAUACUACACACAUAUCACACAAAUAUUCACAGACACACAGACAACCCCCCCCACACACACAAUGCACACACCACACAACUGUCUCCCCGGGCCCACACCCUGUCCAUAUACAGACCAUGGAGAGCAAGAAGGGCUGAAGCUGGUCUUGCCCCUGCCUCCUGGAGGAGGAGGGUGCACCUGAAAACAGACCCAGCAAGAGAUGGGAGCCCCGGGAGCAGCCCAACUCCAGGUCCUCUGCAGAAGUGUCCUAGCCGCCACCAGGCUGCCCUGCAUGGCUCAGCAGUUUCCAGUGCCAGGCUGCAGGGAGGUGUGUGGGGCUGGAAUGCGAAGGCAGCAGAAACCGCCCUGCUCACUCUGACGUCAAAGAAGGGAGGGAGCCAUGGGCAGUUGUGGCAGCUGUGGUUCUAUACCGGUCCCAGAUCUCACUGCCCAUCUGCUUCCCUGCACCCGUAGGGCCUGCUGAGCUGGGCAGGGCAGCCUGGUGGCAGCUGGGUCACUCCUGCAGAGGACCUGGAGUGGGGCUGCUCCCAGGGCUUCCAUCUCUUGCUGGGUCUGGUUUCAGGUGCA